Long non-coding RNA from Cydia splendana, 1436 nucleotides. RefSeq lists it as uncharacterized. NCBI's taxonomy places the organism in Eukaryota, Metazoa, Arthropoda, Insecta, Lepidoptera, Tortricidae. The transcript has 2 exons. The record is from RefSeq and is a predicted model, not a curated record.
AGUAUGGCCAGAACUCUAUACUUAUAACAUUUUCAGCUACUUUUAUGACUUCAGGAAUGCGUAGGUAAAAUCUGUCUGGUUUAAAUGGCCCACGGUGUUUGUAUUUUUGUUUCUAUUUUACUAAUAACUAGUUUGAGCAAACUAACCAGUUUUAAGAAUAAAAGCGUAACCUGAGAGAAGAGUGAAGUGUGUAAUCCUGAAAAGACAAACUCUAUUCUUUGUUAGUUAGUGUUAGUCUUAUUGACAACUACAUAGUACCUACACGUUUUGAUGUAGGUACCUACUUAUGCUAUAUCCUAUUUUAAAUAGUUUUAUAUUACUUUAAAUUAGGUAUAUACGAGUACAAAAAGUACUAAAUGCGUCAUGCACCUAAGUUCUAUUAUUGUAAAGGCUCAAUUUUCAGUAGUAUUCUGGAGGGAUUUAUGUAAAAUAUCACGCGUUGUGUAUUAUAUGCACUGAUAAGAAAUACCUACUGGAGGCGUAUUUAGAUUUAUUUAAAUAUGAUAUUGACAUGAUAUUAAAUUUGGUGCCAGCGAGAUGGACAUAUUUUUAAAAGCUGAAUACGCGUCCAGCACUCUAGAUAAAUUUUGUUGGCGUCGAUUUUUGUAUAACCUCCUCAAAGAAUUUUUGAAAACCAUACAUAUAAAUGUCUAUUAGAAACUUAGUCAGCAUUUGAAAAAUUGAUAAUAUAAUUUCUACCUGAGCGGACCGUUUUUUAAAUCCGUAAGUAUCUACCCUAAGAACAAUUUAAAUUACUUUCUAUGAAAAUAUUUUAAUUUGUGUUAUUUCAAGUAGACACACUACUAUUUCGGUUUAUUCGUAAAUGAUUACCUACAUAACUUACUUGAGUGAUAUUUUCUAUUGAUUUUCCGAGAUCAUAUAAUAUACAUCUUAUAAUUUAUAGAAUAUGUAUGUGCCAACAGUUUAAUUCACAAGACGAAACGGACUGCUGUUUGCAUAAUAUACUUACUUAGCAGAAUUUAUUUGUAACCGACUUCAAAAAAGGGGAGGAUUUUAAUUCGUCAGAAUUUAUUUUUAGUAUAGAUGGGUGCCCUGUAGUUAAGGUACCAGAUUAUAUUAUGAUUCCAACUUAAAAAAUUAUAGCGGUUAUGGGCGAAUGAGAUAUCGCCGGUGGAAACAUUGCAUACUGUUGAUUUUUUUUGUAAACCGCCUAUGUGUCGUCUUUGUGAUAUAGUAAGUACUCUAAUAUUGUAAAAUUUCUUCCAUGCCUUAUUAAUAAAGAGGUAAAUCAUGUUACUUAUGUGCAACAAUUAUCAACAUAAUCAUAAAUGUUUAUAUCUAUAUGCUCUGUUUGUUGAAGAAAUUAGGUGUGACAACACUUGACCUGGUUAAUAAGGUUUAUUUACAGGCUUUGUUGACACUAGUUGUAAUGCUAAAUUUGUAUUGUAAAUAUAUUAUAUGCUGUUAUAUUGAGA